GAUGAAGAACGCAGCGAAAUGCGAUAAGUAGUGUGAAUUGCAGAAUUCAGUGAAUCAUCGAAUCUUUGAACGCACAUUGCGCCCUCUGGUAUUCCGGAGGGCAUGCCUGUUCGAGCGUCAUUAAAACUACUCAAGCUAAGGUUUUACCUUCUGCUUGGUCUUGGGUUUGAGGAUUCAAAAUCCUCUCUCCGAAAUCCAGUGGCGAAUUGUUUGAGCUGUAGACGUAGUAAAUCAUUCUACCCGUUGCAAGCGAGAAUAAUAUUCAGCCAUAACCCCCAUACUUUUCUAGUUUGACCUCGGAUCAGGUAGGGAUACCCGCUGAACUUAAGCAUAUCAAUAAGCUGAGGA
RNAcentral lists this unclassified non-coding RNA (348 nucleotides) under soil metagenome. Its description in RNAcentral is "partial contains 5.8S ribosomal RNA, internal transcribed spacer 2, and large subunit ribosomal RNA". The stretch from base 1 to 120 matches the Rfam family "5.8S ribosomal RNA", at positions 35 to 154 of the family's 154-position model. The record is from RNAcentral.